Non-coding RNA from Cinara cedri, 300 nucleotides. NCBI's taxonomy places the organism in Eukaryota, Metazoa, Arthropoda, Insecta, Hemiptera, Aphididae. The record is from the annotation of a GenBank genome assembly.
GUACAUUUGUGCUUAAUGCAAUGCGAUCUCAAUAGGACAUCUGAUGCCACGGGUUUAGUGAAUCCACCCAGAUGGAAGAUUCCAGUAGGCGCAAUAUGACAUUUUUUUCUGUAAGAUGGAAGCAAAUUAAUAUACUUUUAAGUUAAGGUUGUUUUUGUUUAUAUUCCAAACACUAAGCGUAAAUAUUUCAAUUUUUUUUUCCGAUUUAUGUAUUUUGUAAGAAAUCUUGUUUCAUAAAUCAAACAUGACCAAAUACUUUUAGUACCCGAGCGUAGCGAGGGAGCCAUUGGUUUUACUAAG